AUAUCAAUAAGCGGAGGAAAAGAAACCAACAGGGAUUGCCUCAGUAACGGCGAGUGAAGCGGCAACAGCUCAAAUUUGAAAUCUGGCCUUCCGGUCCGAAUUGUAAUUUGUAGAGGAUGCUUCGAACGUGGUCCGGUCUAAGUUCCUUGGAACAGGACGUCAUAGAGGGUGAGAAUCCCGUAUGUGACUGGGUGCCUUAGUUCAUGUGAAGCUCCUUCGACGAGUCGAGUUGUUUGGGAAUGCAGCUCAAAAUGGGUGGUAAAUUUCAUCUAAAGCUAAAUAUUGGCGAGAGACCGAUAGCGAACAAGUACCGUGAGGGAAAGAUGAAAAGAACUUUGAAAAGAGAGUUAAACAGUAC
RNAcentral lists this ribosomal RNA (358 nucleotides) under uncultured fungus. RNAcentral's name for it is "eukaryotic LSU rRNA". It matches the Rfam family "Eukaryotic large subunit ribosomal RNA", at positions 40 to 398 of the family's 3401-position model. The record is from RNAcentral. Lineage: Eukaryota; Fungi.